UUUGCCUACGGGGGGCAGCAGUGGGGGAUAUUGCACAAUGGGGGAAACCCUGAUGCAGCGACGCCGCGUGAGUGAAGAAGUAUUUCGGUAUGUAAAGCUCUAUCAGCAGGGAAGAAGAUGACGGUACCUGACUAAGAAGCCCCGGCUAACUACGUGCCAGCAGCCGCGGUAAUACGGAGGAUGCGAGCGUUAUCCGGAUUUAUUGGGUUUAAAGGGUGCGCAGGCGGAGGUGCAAGUCAGCGGUCAAAUUGCGGGGCUCAACCCCGUACUGCCGUUGAAACUGCAUCCCUUGAGUGCGCGAGAAG
This 305-nucleotide ribosomal RNA is filed under the name uncultured bacterium. RNAcentral describes it as "bacterial SSU rRNA". It matches the Rfam family "Bacterial small subunit ribosomal RNA", at positions 334 to 657 of the family's 1533-position model. The record is from RNAcentral.